UGGGUUGUGGCUCAGUGGUAGAGCGUUUGCUUAGCAUACAUGAGGAACUAGGUUUGAUCCCUGGCACCACAU
RNAcentral lists this transfer RNA (72 nucleotides) under Ictidomys tridecemlineatus (thirteen-lined ground squirrel). RNAcentral's name for it is "Spermophilus tridecemlineatus (thirteen-lined ground squirrel) tRNA". It matches the Rfam family "tRNA". From Rfam's summary of the family: Transfer RNA (tRNA) molecules are approximately 80 nucleotides in length. RNAcentral also lists the same sequence under 1 other name. The record is from Rfam by way of RNAcentral. Lineage: Eukaryota; Metazoa; Chordata; Mammalia; Rodentia; Sciuridae.